UUUAACUGAAGAGUUUGAUCAUGGCUCAGAUUGAACGCUGGCGGCAGGCUUAACACAUGCAAGUCGAGCGGGGGCAGGUAGCUUGCUACUGGACCUAGCGGCGGCCUGGUGAGUAAUGCUUAGGAAUCUGCCUAUUAUUGGGGGACACCAUCUCGAACGGGAUGCUAAUACCGCAUACGUCCUACGGGAGAAAGCAGGGGAUCUUCGGACCUUGCGCUAAUAGAUGAGCCUAAGUCGGAUUAGCUAGUUGGUGGGGUAAAGGCCUACCAAGGCGACGAUCUGUAGCGGGUCUGAGAGGAUGAUCCGCCACACUGGGACUGAGACACGGCCCAGACUCCUACGGGAGGCAGCAGUGGGGAAUAUUGGACAAUGGGGGGAACCCUGAUCCAGCCAUGCCGCGUGUGUGAAG
Molecule: ribosomal RNA, 409 nt
Filed under: Acinetobacter baumannii
Lineage: Bacteria; Pseudomonadati; Pseudomonadota; Gammaproteobacteria; Moraxellales; Moraxellaceae
Description: bacterial SSU rRNA
Rfam family: Bacterial small subunit ribosomal RNA
Source: RNAcentral